UACACAUGCAAGUCGAACGAAUAUAUUGUCCUCGGAUAGUAUGUUAGUGGCAAACGGGCGAGUAACGCGUAUCUAACCUGCCCUUGUGUGAGGCAAAACUAUGGAGACAUAGCUAAUUCCUCAUACGCUCUAAGAAAUGAAAGUACUUAGAGGAAAGAUUUAUCGCACAAGGAGGGGGAUGCGUCCUAUCAGGUAGUUGGUGAGGUAACUGCUCACCAAGCCUAUGACGGGUAGCCGGUCUGAGAGGAUGUCCGGCCGCAAUGGAACUGAGACACGGUCCAUACUCCUACGGGAGGCAGCAGUGGGGAAUAUUGGACAAUGGGCGAAAGCCUGAUCCAGCGAUUCUGCGUGAAGGAUGAAGCCUCGUGGGGUGUAAACUUCUUUUCUGGGAGAAGACGAAUGACGGUAUCUCAGGAAUAAGAGACGGCUAACUACGUGCCAGCAGCCGCGGUAAUACGUAGGUCUCGAGCGUUAUCCGGAAUUACUGGGCGUAAAGCGUCUGUAGCCGGAUGUAUAAGUCUGUCUUUAAAUACUCUGAUUCAAUUGGAGAAAAGGGAUAGAUACUGUAUAUCUAGAGGAUUUUAGGGGUUAGUGGAAUUUCCGGUGGAGCGGUGAAAUGCGUUGAUAUCGGAAGGAAUGCCGAGAGCGAAAGCAGCUAACUAUAAAAUAUCUGACGGUCAGAGACGACAGCUUGGGGAGCGAACGGGAUUAGAUACCCCGGUAGUCCAAGCCGUAAAUGAUGCUUGCUAGAUGUUUGUCUCGCUAUGCGGGAUGAGUGUCGUACCUAACGGGUUAAGCAAGCCGCCUGGGAAGUAUACUCGCAAGAGUGAAACUCAAAGGGAUAGGCGGGGGAACACACAAGCAGUGGAUUAUCUAGAUUAAUUGGAUAAUAAGCCAAGAAUCAUACCUAGACUUGACAUA
RNAcentral lists this ribosomal RNA (921 nucleotides) under uncultured bacterium. Its description in RNAcentral is "bacterial SSU rRNA". It matches the Rfam family "Bacterial small subunit ribosomal RNA", at positions 50 to 988 of the family's 1533-position model. The record is from RNAcentral.